This is a non-coding RNA of Sus scrofa (pig), 1199 nucleotides long. The record is from RefSeq and is a predicted model, not a curated record. Lineage: Eukaryota; Metazoa; Chordata; Mammalia; Artiodactyla; Suidae.
CGGAGCGGGCUUUUCCUAUCGAGCAGAGCUCCCACCAGGCUUUAAUGGGCAAUACGAUUCAUCUGGAUGGACGGCGCUUUUGCUGUGUCUGGGCAGCGGAGGUAGGACGCACGAUCUGCCGCGGAGCAGGAGGGAUCACCGCUCCGGACGCGCGCCUCGUGGCGCGGGCUCCCUGGGUCUUGCGGGCAGAACGGUCCGGGAGCACGCGCGAGGUGCCCCUCCGCCUCAGGGCGGGAGCGGGCGCUCAGGACGCCUGCCCGUGGGUUCCUGGGAGGUAGGAGCCCCACACCCUUCGCGUCACGGUGAAGAAGCGCUGUAUCCCCAGUGGUCUCAAUGCACCGCCCUGCCCUGCGACACUUACUGAAACAGAACAGGGACAGCAGUUCAGGAAUCAUCGUGGCAUGUCAGUCCGUCCAGGGUCUUUCUGCAGUUUUGCAGCCGCCGAAGGGAGACAAGCGGAAAAUCAUUCGAAGCCCCCCACCCCCCAUCUCACCGCAUGUGAAGAUGUUUCUUUGGGCAGACGGAAGAGUCUGAAUGAUCCUUUUGCUGUGUGACGGUACCUAUUGCUCUGUUACAACAUCCCCACAAACUCAGUGGUUAAGCAACAUAUAUUUAUUGUUGCGUAGUUUCUGUGGGCCAAGAAUGUGGGCACAACCCAGCAGGGUUCUGUAGGAGCUGAAAUCAAGGUGUGAUCAUAGGAUUCUCGUACAGAGAGACAGGACACCCAGGCUUUGUGCCAGGAAGCAGUGUUUAUUUGUGUCGGCACUGGCUCAGCAGAUUCAUAUCCAAGGGCUGAGCCCCUAAUGCAGCAGGAUGCUGUCUUAUAUACCCUCUGUUUUUCCUGUUGCACUUUGGUUCCUUUGUCCCCCUUAUAAGAGAACAUGCAUUCUGUAAAUUCUGGUUGCAUGGGCUCCGUUACAAAGUUGCACAUGGAUACUGAUGGCAUCUUGUGGCUGCAGAGUCACACAUGUGCACACAGAUGCUGGUUAUGCCACGUUGCCUUCCCUUUGUUCUGGGAGGGCCCUUCCCACCGCAUCAGCCAGGACUGUGGGCUAGUCUGAAAGCUCAGGAGGCGAGGGAUCCACGUCUGAAUUACAGUGUGAGUCUGACACUCACGACCCAGAAUUGGCACAGGGUAAGGGCCCAGUUCCCAUCAUACUGCCCUCAUUUAAUUUUUAAUUUUUAUUUUCUUUUUUGUC